AUACUUACCUGGGUGGGGUCACUGGGUGAUCAAUAAGGCCCAUGGCCUAGGUUGAUGACGUCCAUUGCACUUUGGAGGGGUGUCCACCUAAGGUCUCCUAAUUUGGGAGAGCCUGCAUCAUAAUUUGUGGCAGUGGGGGCUUGCGUUCGCGCAGCCCCUAU
Molecule: small nuclear RNA, 161 nt
Organism: Neltuma alba
Lineage: Eukaryota; Viridiplantae; Streptophyta; Magnoliopsida; Fabales; Fabaceae
Product: U1 spliceosomal RNA
Exons: 1
Source: RefSeq, a predicted model, not a curated record